CCUACGGGAGGCAGCAGUGGGGGAUAUUGCACAAUGGAGGGGACUCUGAUGCAGCGACGCCGCGUGAGGGAAGAAGGUUUUCGGAUUGUAAACCUCUGUCUUCGGUGACGAAACGAGACGGUAGCCGAGGAGGAAGCCACGGCUAACUACGUGCCAGCAGGCGCGGUAAUACGUAGGUGGCGAGCGUUGUCCGGAAUUACUGGGUGUAAAGGGAGCGUAGGCGGGAAAGCAAGUUGAAUGUUGAAGGUACGGGCUCAACCUGUACAAGCGUUCAAAACUGGCUGUCUCGAGUGGAGUAGAGGUAAGCGGAAUGCGCGGUGUAGCGGUGAAAUGCGUAAAUAUCAGGAGGAACACCAGUGGCGAAGGCGGCUUACCGG
RNAcentral lists this ribosomal RNA (377 nucleotides) under uncultured bacterium. RNAcentral's name for it is "partial 16S ribosomal RNA". It matches the Rfam family "Bacterial small subunit ribosomal RNA", at positions 338 to 732 of the family's 1533-position model. The record is from RNAcentral.